CUCCAUUGCUAAUCUUUAGCGACAGAUAGUUCGUUGUCAUGCAUUAGCGACAGAUGAUUCAACACAACAUAUAUUUAUAGCGACAGAUCGUUUAACAGUCCAAUUUAAUGUACAAAAAAAAUAAAAUUUUUAGCACAUAUAAAAACAUUAUCGAAAUCUUAAUAUAGUGUCCACAAGUCAUGAAGAUACACAACCACAUACAUAUGAUAUCCAAAUUUGUCCUUACAUUACAUCCAGCAAAAGUGGACCACCAAAUGUAUUUGUCUUGCCAUACAUCACACAUCCAGCAAGGUCAAGCACCAAAAGAAUUACAGUAGUACUUUGUCUUGUCAUACAUCACACACAUCCAGCAAGGUCAAGCACAAAAGAAUUAGACACUAGUACUUUGUGUUUUUUAUUCUCAGGUUUGUGCACAGAUUCUCAUUUCUAGGUCUAAGAAGUCAAAGCCAAAAGGAAUGACUUGCCAAAAGGUAGAGCUCAUCCAUCAGCAGAAUAAUAUUCCUGAAACUCAAGUCAAAGGCUAGUUUGGAGCACUUCCUGAAAAACAGAACCAUGUAAUCAGCAACUAUAGACCUCAUUUGGUGCGACAAAUGUCUGUAACAUUCAGUGAAACGCAGUUUCGUGUACUUCUUGCAAUUAGGAAAUAAUUCUUGACUAUUGGCUUCUACCAGCUUCUGGAGGUCAACUAGUUCUUUAGGAAGCUCAACAGAACUAUCAUCUUCGAAAUCCCCUCUAUCAUCUAAAGCACAAGCUAGGUCUCUAAGCAAUUCAGAUAUGUCAUCCUCUUCACUAGACUCUUCCACAGGACCAGGACCAGCACCAUCAACAUUAUCGGUAUUCACAUAAGAGGAACUAGCUUCCCCAUGCAAGUUCCAAGUUGUGUACCCCUUUAGAAACCCAUCACAUAUCAAGUGCUCUCGUAUAUCACUCGAGUCUCUCCAAAAUGAAUUAACACACUUUCUGCAAGGGCAUAGUAUCUUGUCCCCUACCGCUGAAUUUCUAAAUGCAAAAGCUAGGAAACUGUUGAUCCCUUGCAAAUAUGCCUUUGUGUGCCUAGCAUCACUAUUGAUCCAUAUUUUAUCCAUAAGUAUUUGUGGGGACUGAGCAUGUACCUGCAGUACUUCGAUCUGUUGACUGCAAGCAAUGAGAAGAGAAUGACGUCGAUGUAGCAGAUCUACAACUCACUGGGGUUAGUGGGCCAGCUCCACAAUACUUUCACCUAGGGGGCUGAAAUGAAUGAGAAAGAACAAAUCAAUUAUGCCAGCUUCUGCAUGAUCUCUUGAAGUUAGACAUGCUGGAUGAUCUCAAAUAUAAGUGACACAAACAGAUUCAGAAAACAAGAAAAAUAAUUUAUUUCGUAGCUAGCAUCUGUGAUGGAAAAUAAGUGAAACAGAGAAUAAUCAGAAAGCAUGUGUGAUGCAGCCUCACAAUUGGUACCAUCACUAAUAAAUAGCUAGGAACAUAACCACUGCACAGAAUCACCAAUCGCCACCAUAAGAAAAUAAAGAAGCUUAUUUUUAGCUUUCAACACUUGCCAACUUAUGUACAGAUCAGCUCAGCAUCCUCUAAUAUAUCUCCCAACUUAUGUACAGAUAAUUAAGUUGUUUCAAAUUAUUGUUUCAGGCUAUGCAAAUAAAUUCAUGGCUAGUAAAAUUUAAAGCAGCUUUCCUUAAAAAGCAGAAGAUGGCUGUACCUAUCCUGCAAGUUAUAUGCCCAUUGCUUACAAAAAUAACUAAUGAAGAUGAUGUUUUCUAUUCUAUAUAAAUGGGCAGCAAGCAAUCAACCUUUUCCAUAAUUGUUUAGGUUGGAAGGUAAAUUUGGCAAGACAAUAAAUUAAUUCAUUGGUUCUUGCAGGAGAAGUCAUAUGACGCUCUUGCAGCAUUCUGCGAGGACAUGGGUGCAGAUAUCCUACCAUAUCUAGAGCCCCUGCAGAUUGGUUGCCUUUGUAGAGUAGUACUCGGAACUUGCAAGAGACGUGUGGCAUGUAUGUAGUAAUUCUGCAUAGCAUACUACUUGGCUUCUAACAGAAUUAAUCUGUACAGAAUCUGCUAUUAUGUUUUUCCCCUACAAUAAAGCAAGUUCCGAAACCCACAAAUCCAAGUCUUAAAAUAAAGAAAUUUCUUUAACCUAUCAAUUGUGCUACUCAAGAAAUUUUUACCUACAAUCUGAGCUCCAAACACAAUUAGGGUAGAUGGAUCAUUUUACAAAUUCCCAAAUACCAGAACAUUGAGUUGAGAUAAAUAAAAAGAAAAUGGCAUUGCAAUCUGAAGGCUUCAAGCUCGGCACCAAAAUAAGUUCCCUUUCUAUCAACUACCUCACUAGUCGAAACAAGCCGAAAUCCAGGCAAUUCAAACUCUAAGUUAAACAUGUUACCCAAUCUCACCAUUUCAGACGUCUAUACAAGUUUAUGGUUGUGACUUGAAUAAGAUAACAAAAAAAUGGAGUCUAUCAAAAUACCAGAACAUGUAGAGUUUUUUUUAGAGCAGAACAUGUAGAAUUGAGAUAUCACUCAGCAUUACACGAGUGACCAUAUGAUUAUCUUGACUCAUCAGAAAAAAGAAACGAAAGCCUAAAUUCUCAGAUAGCAAAUGGCUGUCAAUCCAAUUUACGCACAAGCCUCAAAUAAAGCAAAUCCAUUAACAUGACUCCUCUGCUAUUCAGGAAUUUUUCACCUACAAUCUGAGCUCCAACGCAUCUACGGGAAGGGAGCAACCCAAAAGAAAAGAUGCAGGGAAGGGAGGCACCUACCAAUGGAUCUGCAGCAGAAACUCAAAUCGAAGUCACUGAGAUGCCACACUGCGUGCUCCACCUUGGCUUGCUCCACGGGUGGUGGUUAGCAGCUGGAGGCACCGGGCCCUAGCUUCCUGGUGGACCAGCAGCCAGGUUCUACGGUGGCAGAUGGGCUGGUGGCUGCCUGCGCCGGUAGAGGGCGGGGCUGUGGCAGACCGGAGCAGUCCCCGAUGGCUGGAGCAGGAGGAGAUUUGGGGCACUGAAGCAGGAGGAGAUUUGGAGCACUGGAGAGCAGUGUUGUGUGUUUUGGGGCGGCUGAGCGGGCGAGGCGAGAGUUAGGGGCAGGGCGGGCUAGUUUUCAGGGGAGCUAGAGGGCGGCGGCGGGCAGGACGAAUUUUGGGUGGGUCGGCAGCGCGAUUUGGGAGAAGGGAGAGGCGCGCGGCGGCCGCUAGCGGUCAGGUUCGGCGCCGCGCUUUUUUGGAUUGGGAUUUGGGGGAAGGAGGGUCUAGGGUUUCUGUAGUCGUGGGCAGAGACCAAAGUUACCUGGGAGGGAAUUUGUGACCUGGAAGCGGGCGUGGGGUCCAUUUAUUUUUGCCGACAGAUGGAUUGACUAUAUAACUUGUUUUAGCGUCAGACAAUGUGAUUUUAAAUAUAAAUACCUAUAGGGACAGACAAUGAAUCGCUAAAUAACAAUUUAGCGUCAGAUAGUCUCUGCAUUAUUUUUAGGGACAGAUCCUCCAUCGGCAAAGAUAAUUUUUACCGUCAGAUGUCUGACGGUGAUUUAGUGUUGUGGUGUAGUGGACAGAUACGAUAGAUGCUCAAGGGAAUGGGGGCGAAAAGUAACCAGCAUAAUAUAGUUUCUUUUUCCUUUUUUGAUAAAAUGUGACCAGCUCGAUUGGGAGGUAGGAGUAGUAGUAGUAGUAAAAAGGAAAGAUCGAUCGGUGUGUGUGAAAACUGUGAAUGACAUGAAUAACCGGAAAUUGGUUGUGCCUGCGGUGGUGCUAUUCGCGCAUGUGCGUUGGGCAGUUCUCGUUUUCAGGCAGGCCACUGAUAGCUAGCUGCUGGCAUACGGACUGCAAGUAGGACAGGACUGUCGUGCUGGCCGAUCUACUAGACAGGCCCAGCGCCCUGACCAGAUCGAUCUCGCGCGACUACUCGCAGUAUAAUCACGUCUCGCAGUCUCGCACAGGUCCAUGACAACACAUGAGCGAACGAACCGAACCCGUCCGUCCGUCCAUCGCAUCACAAUAGACACUCCUCGGCGAUCCCGGCCGGCGUUGCUGGCCGGUCGGAGGGUGCGCGACCGGCCGGUCGGUCGUGGCCGCCGCAUGCAUGCGAUGCAUUGAUGCGCGCCCGCACGGCAGCAAUCAGCAUCGUCGUCUAUAUACAGGUCUCCAUCGAACCAACCAACGACGGACGGACGACGAGAGGAGGCCACCAGCAGCGCGCGGCGACCCACGUACUGUACCCACUUGCAUUGCCCUGGCCACGUACGGCGCCAUGGCAUCUCCAUUUAUCGCCGGCCAGCGCGGCGUCGUACUACGGCAGGGACGCUGGACGGGAUGGGGCCACGGCAGAUGGAGGCCGGGGCAACGCCGUACGCGGCCGCAUUUACGGCCGCUCAUGGGCUUCUCAUGUUCCGUUCUGCGGGCGCGGGCCAGCCGAUCCGGCGGAUGGGAUCAGUGGAUCACAUCAAUCAAAUCGCCCGCCCGCCCGCCUGACGCAUGGGAACGUGCGUGGCCUGGAGCCUGGAGCCUGAGCCUGACCCGCGCCCGCCUCUCCUCCCGUGUGCAGCUGCAUGCAUCGCAGGGCCGGCCGUACGUACCCAGGCCUGUCUGCCGGUGCCGGCCAUCAUUGUGUCGGAGUUGCCGUGAUACACCGGCAGCUGCAAACACCACUAGCGCCAUGGCCAAUUUGGCCAUGCAUGCAUGUGCAUCGCGCUGUCCUGUACGUCCACUCCACGGGUCGUAUUAUUCCCGCCGGUCGCCCCGCCCAGGGUCCGUCCGUCCGCCCGCCCGCCCCCGCUCCGUCGUCGUCGUCGUCGCCUGCUGUUCACCGCGAGCGAUGCAUGUCAUGUGGAGCUUCACGCGAAUCUGACGACCUGUUCGUUUCCGGCUACAGUCGUACGUGUCGUCUCACGUACACCGGCCGGACCCCGGGCUGGGGACUACCGUCCCCGGUCACAGCGUCAGGUUUGUUUUGGUAGCAUGCGAUGCGAGCGCAUGGCCGCCGCCGUGCAAACGCAUGUGAUCCGUUUACAUGGCAGUUUCCCCAUCUCCUGAAUGCAUGCGGUGGUGGGUGCCGGAUGAUAUGCUACAGCUAGCUAAUACACCACAGUCCAGUCCACAGGACACGAUCCACGUACACCAUCACAUGUAGUACCUAUGUAGUACAGUAGCUUUCUUUAGCUUGCCUCAAAACCCUUCUUUUUUCCUCAAGAAAGCGCGAAGAGAGGAUCUGGUUCUUCACAACCUAACAAGCUAGCUAGGUGUUGCAUAUGUCGUCUCAAAAGAAAAUAUGUGCUUUUUUUGUUUGAUUGCGUCGCAUUUGUAGAGUAUAAAUAGCUUCACCUUUGUAUAGUAGUGCUUCAUUUUAAAUAUGACACUUGAUAAUCUUGAUAUAUCGUUUUGAGUAGGAGCUAGGUUAGAGCAUCUUCACUACUUAUAUUUGGACCCAUAUCUAUUUCUCCAAACACAUGGGGCCUCAACUAGUUCUAUUUUAUAUAGUACCAAAUACUACAAAAUGCCACUUUUUUAUACACGACAUAGAAGCACAUGUAAACCAAGGUUGACGAUCGAGUGUUGAGUGCGUGAAUAAAGACAUACAUAGUGCGUGUGUUUUCAUCAUGUCGAAUGAAUUAAAUUUUGUUGCUUGUAUCCUUUAUAUAUCGUCCAUAUGUUACUAACAUGCUAGAGUGAGAGUUUGACCUUAUUUUUUUUGUUCUCUAGCUGAACAACUUCUAUCAUUACAAACUAGUAAUGAGUCUAGCUAUAUCACUUAUCUCAACGGUAAUGAAAUUGUAGUACCUAUGUAUAGUAGCUUUCUUUGGCUUGCCUCAAACCUUCUUUUUCCUCAAGAAAGCGCGAGGGGAGGAUCUGGUUCUUCACAACCUAACAAGCUAGGUGUUGCAUGCAUAUAUCCUCCCAAAAGAAAACAUGUGCAUUUUGUUUGAUUGCGUCGUGUUUGUAAAGUAUAAAUAGCUUCCCUUUGUAUAGUAACGCUUCAUUUUAAAUAUGACACUUGAUGAUCUUGAUAUAUCGUUUCAACUAGGAGUUAGAGCAUCUUGACUACUUAUAUUUGAACCCAUAUGUAUUUCUCCAAACACAUGGGGUCCUCUCAACUAGUUCUAUUUUAUAUACUACCAAAUACUACAAAAUGCCACUUUUUUAUACACAACAUAGAAGCACAUGUAAACCAAGGUUGAUGAUCGAGUGUUGAGUGCGUGAAUAAAGAGUGCAUACAUAGUGCGCGUAUUUUCUUCCAAGCACCCAUCAUGUCGAGUUUGGCCUUAUUUUUUUGUAAGAACGAAACAUGGUUGGCUAGCUGAACAAUUUCUAUCAUUACAAACUAGUAAUGGGUGAUAUCACUUAUCUCAACGGUAAUGAAAUUGUAACAUGUCGCUAUUAUGGACUGUUGAUCUUUAGAAAUCAAAAUCAUUACAUAACACUUAUAGAUCAAGAAGCCACAAAGUUACAAAUUCAUAUGUGUAGAAAUCCAUAUAAUAUGAUGGAUAUCGCAAUUAAUAACAUAUAUGUGGAUCAUUCGGCAAGCAAAUUAAUACAACAUAGGAAGGAAAACAAAAAAAAUUAUGCAUAAAAAAUUAGAUAAAACAGAACUAUGCUCUUUGCGAGACAGAGCAUUUUAUAGUAGUGUGCUAAGGUUGAUGGAUGAGGGAGACUAGUUGUGUAGAGAAUGAUUAUUAUUUUGGUCGUCAAUUCCAUGGACAAAGGAUCAAGCGAUGCGAAGCAUUCACCAAUUUCAAAUUUUGAAAAAAACUUAUCAUUUCAAGUAGCGAAUAUUCUAAAUAGAAAUGGAAUACGAACGCGUACACUUAUGAUCACCAUUUUCACAACCUAGAUAGGUAAAUUUUGUACCUAUUUUUUUCUUCAAGUUGUGAAUACGAUCUUAUCUCGUUUACCUGAAUCAUAACACUUUGGUUUUAGUAGCAAGUUGAGAAGGGGAAAGAGGUUUCAUAUAAUAUAAAGGGAAGUCAAAUCCUAGUUGUCCUCACAUCACUAGCAACUUUUUUCUACCAAUCAUAUCAAAAUUGGGGCAAAGGAAUGAAAAAAACAAUAACAACACGAAGGACUCAUGUUACCCAAAGUGGAAAUGGUACUCGCAUAUAUACGUUCAACUAGCAAAUCAAGCAAAACUACAAGAUAGCAAGGGGAAAAAGAAACUCGUGUGUUUAGAAAAUGGGUUGGGGUACUCACAUAGAUAAGGAUCGCUGGUUGACAAUAAAAGCAGUAGUAGAUAGUGAGUAGAACAAAAAAAUUGGUGCAUUUAUAAAUCUAGUUGGGAUAAUCACAUAUUUUGGAAGAAACACAUUGAGACAUAUUUGAUUGAUCCACACAAUAAUACAAGAUCUUAUUAUUAACCUGUAGUAUGGCAUAGCACUAUAUAUAAGUAAAAAAUGAGUCUUUAUAAAUAGAUCUACGUAUUCUCUAUAGUGGAGCAAAAUAUCUACACAAACUCACAUUGUAGCUGUCGGGCCAGGCUAAAGCCUGUAAAGUACAGUAUGUUCUUUGCGAUAACCACUUGCGCACUCAUCAAUGUUGUGAAUAGCAUGGCGUGUAUAAAGUGUUUGUUGCUCAUUCCAUGCCGCAAGCAUGCAAGCAAAGCCCCUCAUCCAUGGCGGCCGACUGGCGACUCCUAGUAGAGGAGAUGAAUAAAGGGCCCGGCCCCGGGCUCCUCCAUGAACUAGAUGACGUACCUCUCAUCAUCAACCAUCAUCCGCAGAGCAAAACUACAUGACUAGCGCCCCAGUAAAAGUUAUAACAGCGACAGCUAGGGCAGGACAGACAAAGGGAGUACUCCAUGUGGAAGCCGAUAAGAGAGAGAGAGAGAGAGAGAGAGAGGAGGUGAUGGCCAUGGCUGGCGGGUUGCCGCCGGGAUGUCCCCCACACACUGGCCACUGCAUCUCGACUCCUCCUCUUGGCAUCUGCCACAAAGAGUUAGCGCUACAUCAGCCAGCCAGACAGGCACUGUCCGUUGCAGGCAGGCAGGCAGGCUACGGCCUGAGGUAAAAUGGUUAAAAAGCUGGGGGUAAUGUACUAUGCCGCCGGUGGCCACAUGUGUACUGCGCUAAUGACACGCAGCAGGAGUCGCCAGAUCCUGUACUAAUGACACACAAAGAGACACAAAACCUUUUCUUUGUGUCAUUCUUGUCAUGCCCAGUGAUACUGUGAUAGAUGGAUUGGAUGGAGUAGAUCAUGGACAAUCUUUUAAGCCUAGUUAGUCUAUGAUUAGACAAUUUUUAUCAAAUACAAACGAAAUUGAUCUAGUAUCAUUUUUUUUAAAAAAAUGGAACUAAACAAGGCCGGCUAGCAAUGCAAAGACCACUACUCGUCAGCCCUGGCAAAUCAGCUAGCUAAGUUCUUGGGCCGAUUGACAAAAGCGACGUGGCAAUUAACUUGGCUACCUCUUUGCAUUGGCUCAAGAAUAAAAUUCGAUUUCUAUACUGACAAAACAUAACGUAGUGGCUUAUUUGGGUAAUAUUCUGCUAUAACCCUUUUCAUCUUUUUUUUUCUCAUGCAUGGCCUUUGUUGACAAAGAAAAAAAAGGAAACGCUACAUGUUAGGGUGCUAGAAAAAAUUGCCACGUUAUCAAAGACCCCAUAAUUGAAGCUUUCAAUGACAGAUGGAGUAAAUUGAUUUUUGGUCUUCGUCCAAAGUUGGUUCACACGCCUAGCAAAGGGUUGUGCGCAGUGACCAAGGAGACAUUAAUUUGGCCAGUGAAAGGAGUUGUAUGCAGAUGGUUGGAUUAAUUAGACCAGUGGGAGGAGCCGCAUAUGCUUGAAAAAAAAGGUAAAAAUAGUGGUCCCUAGUUUAGAUGACUUUAAUUUUUAAGAAUUUUUUUUAAGAUGACUCCGAUAAAUAAAUCGAGAGAUUACAUUGUAUUCUGCUGCCUCUUGCUGUAUGUGAAAGGGUUCACUUGCUUUGAGAGAAAAUUUUAGAAUCCUAAAUGUGUGCGGAGGGAGUAUUAUAUUAUUUAAAAGUCACAACAUCUAAGAGAUUACCAUAACUGAAGAGUGUCCUCUAGCAAUAAUAACAUUGAGUAGUGCAAUACCCCAUUAACAAGCACCUACAUUGCAUGAAUGAUGUAUUGUAGCAAAUUUACCCUUGCUGAAAUCCAGCCAUCCAGGGCUAGCUCCCGCACUCGGGCGAGAAUGGUUCUUUAUCGUCCUUGGAAUGUGGAUCUGAAAUUCUUGGGGGUUUGUUGCCACAUUCCUGAAAGAGAGAACUCGUUGUCUUUGGCUGGCGAGAUCGAUCGGCGAACGAAGCUACCUACACGACUAUGAUUGAUAGUACUAUCCUGCUGCUCUCUUGCUUUCGGCCUUCCGAUCCGCAGUUGGAUUUGAGCUAGUAGCUCUCUUGCUUCGGCCUGGCAACUACGGUAUGUUCACAACCAGAUUUUUCAAUUUCUCCUAGUAACGUGGGAUUCUCCUAGUGUUUUAGCAUUUAAAAUUUAGUAUAAACUUUUUCUAGUAAAUGCCUCCUAGUGAGGAUUUCCUAGUGUUUGACUAACUAAAAACACUAGAAAAAUUCCACCAAUUUUGGUAGUGGUUGGUCCAUGAUUGAUGACCGAGCGAUGAUCCAACAUAGCAGCAUCGAUCGGCAUGCAUACCGCAGCUAGGCGCAGGAUACUGCAUGCAUGCAGGCAUGCUGCGCCAACGAAAGCCGAGCCGAAUCAUGUCGCAUGGCGCUCGUCACGAGCUACAGAGCUAGGGUACUUUUUUUUUAAUAUUCGAUAAGAUGAGGUGAUUUAUUUGUUUUUUUUAAGAAACUAAAAGACCUUAGUCCAAGGUAGUACUAGGGUCUGUUUAGUUCGUAUCUUGAAAAGUUGAGGAAUUUUAUAGUGCUUGGAAAUAAUGAGAACCAUCCAUUUAGUUAAAUCAGAUGGUUAAGAAAUAGAAAGAACCUACUCAGAGGAACUUAAGCUGUGGGCCGGAACUAAAAUCUAGUUGGCUCGGAACUGACUUUAGAUAAAUUGUGGAGGUUAGAAUGGUACUUUUGCGUGGAUCUACUGGCCAUGGAUCGAAAAAGCUGUCUUCCUUAAGGCAAAUGCCGGCCAUGUCGGACUGCACUGACUCGCCACCUACAAGCUUACGCGCGGACGCAAGCACUGGCUGUUGACCGCUACCUCCGUCGGUUUAGCCAUAGGCGGGCCAGAGCUUAGUAAGAGAGGCAUGGUGGCACCAUUGGGUCUCGACAUGGCCGUGGCUACGGUGGCAGUGGUGAUGGGACGCGGCCAUGUGCGAGGAAGGCGCAACACGCCGGCUCAGACGAGCACGAGACGGACAUAGGUAACACAACUGCUUUCUAGGUUACACAAGGAGUACAAAGUUCAAAAAAAAAUUGAUCUGUUCAUUCGUUGAUUUAUUACACUUGGCCGCAGAUGUUUGAAUCGUGGAGGUCAAAUAAGGCCUUGUUUAGUUCCCAAAAAAUUUUGCAAAAUUUUUCAGAUUCUUCGUCACAUCAAAUCUUUAGACGCAUGCAUGGAGUAUUAAAUAUAAACGAAAAUAGAAACUAAUUGCAUAGUUUGGUCGGAAUUGAUGAGAUGAAUCUUUUGAGCCUAGUUAGUCCAUUAUUGGACAAUAUUUAUCACAAACAAACAAAAAUGCUGCAGUACCUGUUUUGCAAAAUUUUUUGGAACUAAACAAGGCCUAAGUGCAGGCCGGUGACAGAUGGGAAGCAACAGCUAGCAGAUCGGUGAUGGGAGGAGGAAGGAAGGCUACCGAGCCCCACCCAACAGGCGGAUGACCUGGAGACUACCAAGCCCAAGCAGAUGGUUGGUGCAGAGCUCGUGAAGGUGGCCGACGGUGAUCCCAUAUGGUGGCCCAUACAAACGGUCGGUGGUGAGCUCCUCCAAAUUGCCGGUGGUGAUCCCCCAACAGUCAGGCGCUGGCACCGAUGAGCCUUUGAGGCGGCAGCGAGCCCUUCUCCAUAUCGAUGCGGCUUUCAAUUCAUCCCAGAGAGAGAGAAAGAAGACGUGGGGGCAACUUAGAAUACACUAGAAUGAUCCAAUUACCCCUAAUUACUUUUAACUAACGAAAAAACUCCACACGAGGAACCACAGGUUCUUCCCAAGCACCGUAACAAACCUCUGAAAAGUUUUGUAUACUCCCUCUAUACCCGAAUUAGUUGACGUUUAGGAUAAGAUUGUGGUAACCAAGGAGUAAUUAACUAAGGGUUAGUUUUCCUACUUUGCCCUUAUUAAAUAGCACUGCGGGUGUUUACUUUACAACAAUUUAGCGUAGCACAGUUGGUGAGUCCUUCGCAGCCUGAGGCUAGUGGCCGCGGUUCGACUCCCCAGUGCGCAAUUUUUUUUGCUGGAGCGCAGCCUGAUAGGCCCGUGCGUGAGGCUGCCACUCAUCCACGCGCAUGAAGGAAGCAAAGGCGUGCGGGCCAAGGAGGCAUUCAAUGCCAAUGCUCAGUUUUGUCAGGGACAUUCACGUCAAGUUUUCUCUUCUACAGUGCAGAACACGUCAGCUUUUGAGAAAAUGGUAAAGUCGUCCAAAACGUCAACUAUUUGAGGUAUGGAGGGAGUACUAUAGUAUAUAAUUAAUUCGUUUGAUUGAUAGUCAGGGCACUUAUAAUGUAAACUUUAUUAUAUAGUCUAAAGUUAUUUAUUACUUCGAACAAUGUGGACUUAGAGUCUAAAUAAAACUUGAAGUCUUAUUUUUUCUACAUUUUUCUUCAAUAAAUAUGUUGGCACAUCAGUAAAAUACCAUAAAUAUAUAUAAUUAAUUGUCUUAUACUCUGUGAUAGAGUUUUACAUUGUGAAUGUCGUCGUGGCAGAGAACUAGUAGUGUAGUGUGGGUCGACCAGGCGCUCGCGUCGUUCGAUGGAUCUCCCUCCAUUUGUGUUCGACGGCGCCACCGUCCGUCCGCGGUCCGUCUCAUGCGCAGGCGGCAGGCCUAGGGCAUGUGUAGCGUGGUAGCGAAGCGGGUGUCACUGCACUCACCCGCCGCUGCGCGCGCCCUUUUCUUUGACGCGCAUGCAUGAAGGCAGAAGCAGCAAGCGCACACGCAUCUCCAGAUGUUUUAUCAAAGUUUCAUGAAUAUUAAAUUUGAUAAUAUGUAUAUUAAUGAUAAUAAAAUGAUAAGAAUUUUAUUGAAUAAACAGAGUUUUAUAAAGAUAAAAACUUUUUUAUAUUAUUUUCAAAAUAUAGAUACUUUAAAAAUUGAGUUAUGAAAUCUCCACUAAAUAUGAUCUUAGUACCCUGACUAGAUAAGCAGCCGGCUAGCUAAACGCCAAUGAUCAGCUAGCGUUCAAAGCGCGCGCCAUGGCCGGCGGCCCACACAGAUGAUACACCACCAGGCCGGCCGGGCCCCGGGCAUACACGGGUGACGCCGUGACGGUGGCAUGCAUGCAUGCGCGUUACAGGUCCGUGUUGCAUGCAUUGCAAGAGCAACCACAAUGUAUAUCGACCAAGUAGUCCAUAUACAUAGGACCCACAUAACUAGUCCAUAGCUAUUGUUUUCUUCUCACAAUGUAUAUGGACUAAGUAGUCUAUAAGAUGGGACCCAAAGAGAAUAAAAAAUUAUUUAUCUUCAUUCCACCAGCCACUACAAGGAGAGAGAGAUGGAAAGAAGUAAGUAAAUAAAAUUUUUUAUUCUCUAUGGAUAGUCCAUAAGCUUAUGGAUACCUUUUACUAUGGACUACUCUAUGGACUGGUCUCACACUGUUUCAGCUAGCUGAUACAAAUUAUUAUAAUGCCUAUGGACUACUUUUGAGCAACAUUGUGGUUGCUCUGCAAUAGCUCAUCGCUGAUGCCGGCCUGGCCUGGUAACUAGCGGCGGCCGGCGGCAGCUGCUACGCUAAGCGCUGCGAUCCGCAGGCGCCAUCGACGCGACAACACCCAACACUCCAAGUGCAAACGACAAGGCAACGUAAGAGGUGGUCCCUCCGAUCCGUUUGAAAUCAAAAGAAUGUAAUUAUUAUGGGAGACGUGUCGGUUAAAUCAAAUUUAUAAUAAUAAUAUUAUUAUUAUUAGUAUUUAUGUCUCCACAUAAAUUUGUUAUGAAAAAAUAUAUAUACUAGUGUGGCAGAACCACCCUAAUUAUAUGGCCCACAUGCACUUGACAUUGUCCUUAAGACCUCUGACUACUGCACAUGAGAGUCAUAUAACUUGGAUAGUCUGUCGGGUGCCCUCGGAGGACCCCGAAUCAUCCACAUUUUAACUCGUACAGGAUCAACAUGGAGUUACCACAACAUUACAACAUUUGUUACAAAAAUAACUUACAUCAGAGUGCGGAAGAUUUAUAACUUAAUUUACAACAUAUGAUGAAAUACAAACUUAACUAAAUUUCUAAAAGGUGUAUAGAGUAGCGGAAGCAUCUUAGGUGAAGCUUCUAAGGUAGAAGAGGUGGAUAAAUCAUGUCGCGCCCACCGACAUGACCUCCAUUAGCAGACUAAGUCAGCACCUGCAACAGGGGUUAUAAAACCCUGAGUACAAAAGUACUCAACAAGACUUAACCGACUAGAAAAGAGAUGAAGACUCAGGUAUGCAGGCUAUAGGGAUUCAAGGUAAAGCUUUAUCAAGAUAAAGCAUUUCUUUUGCAUAAAAGCUUACUAAGAUUAAACCUACUUUCAAGUUUUAACUCAAGGUUAUCAUUUAUGACUAACCAAAACUAUUAUCAAACUUGCAUAAGCAUACCACAUCUUUCUUAUACCAAAGAUUCACUUGUUACUACGAUGAUGGUGUGAGGAUUGAGGCUCCAUAUCCGAGGAAACACGGCGAUUCGAAUCGAUUAAACCCAGCUGGGGAUUCAGUACCACACGACAUAUGUAGAACUUAAUCUUGCAUAUGUCAACCUUUUCUAUAGAUCCUCCCAUACAAGAACGGGUCCAGCGUCACCCGAGAGUACAGUACACCACCAUCCUACAGCCAAUCUAGAUGUUUCCCGGUCAUCUCAGAUCCGUAAGGUGGGUACACGCUACUCUCGCCAUCUUUCCACUCCCAGUACGCGGUUAGCCGUUCUCAAGUAUCGGAAUAGCUAUAGGUAAGGCUUACCGCCGCAUGUGGGCUGUACUCAAAGGUCUCAAUCACAACAGGCCAAUCAACGGUACGGUCCUUAAUCGACACAGUUGGAGACACUACUUUAAGACUCCAUUCUUAAAGCAAGUCCACCGACCGGUCUCAAAUUGAACAUCAUUAACUAUAAGAGUAUUCCACAACGACCCUUCAAACGUUCUCAUUUGAAAACUUAUCUAAUAAGCAGGGCUAAGCAUACUAAGCAUUUUCAUAAAGCAGGUAUCAAGGUUAAUAUGGAAAUCAUCAAGGUAGAUAAUGCAGCAAAUAGGAUUCACUCAACUCCUAUUCACCUAAUGCAUCAUAUUAACUCAAGUGAUAUAAAUAACUUUAUGAAAAUACAAGGAUAGGGUUUAAUGUCCGGGGCUUGCCUUGACCGGAAGGGAAGUCCGACAACUCAGCAAAACCAGAUGGAUCCACAAACUCGGAAGCAACCCACUGAGGAUCAGAUUCCUCCGGAGCGUAGUCUACACGUAGAAGUGCAUAUGCAUGAUUAAUGAGAUGCUCAUGAUAUGAUAAAGACAGGUUACAUGUUCUUGGAUGAUAACAACAAUCAUAACUACCUCGAGUACAACUUACCUUCACGGUAUAGAGACAAACUAACUUAGCUAUCAAAACAUAAAUUACUACUAAGCAAAUUUUAUCAUCUUCAUUAAGCAAUGUUGUGUAGUUAUUAAGCAACAAAGAUCAUUUACAUGAAAGAAUCCUUAACCAGGGAGCAUGUUAUGCUAAGUGACCACUGGUUGUCAAACAAUCUAAAAUAUCACCCAAAUCCUAAAGGGAUUAAUUAUUUCUAUUUCUUUUAUAAGCAUUUAAAUAGCUUUAUUAAGAAACAGAGCAUACUUAAUCAAAAAUAACUGAAAAUAUUUCUGAAGCUAGGUAAUAUUAACACAAGUUCACAUAUUAAAUUUCAUGCCAUUUGAAUAAGUAUAGCAGUUUCCAUGAAAAAGAUAAAUUUCCAUCACAAGGAAGCAUGUAACAGCAAGAUAAAUAAGAAACUCGACAUUUUCUACAAACACAUAGCUAAAUUAUGUAUCUAUAUGAUAUAACAAUCUCAUAUAAAGGCAGAGGAACCAUAUUUUACAUUUAUUAAUUUUUAGUUUAAUUGUAAACUAUUUAAUAAGCACUAAACAAGAUAAAUUAAUAACUUAAUCAUAUUUCAUCCAAUGAAUCUAAAAACUUAACCACAGCACACACACAUAAUCAUUAGCCUACCAUAAAAGUUUCAUCUUAAAAUAAGCUAUACAGCAAUAGAUAUGAAUUUCUUCCCUUUAAGCAUAAUUAAAAGACAUAAAUCAUAACUAAUUAUUUUACUACAAAACAUGGUCAGUUUCAUAUUUUUAAUAAACACUAGACAUCUCAAGGAGCACAACAAAAUUUGGUUCACCAAAAUUGGAGUUACCAAACUCCAGAUAUGAAUUUUCAAAGAUCUAACAAAACAUCUACAAACAGGUCCUGAUGGCACUAUUCACCUGAGUCACGAACUUCGCAGUUAGAUCCUUGCCUUGUGUCGAAUUCCAACGCGAAGUCCCUGGCGCGAAAUGGAAACAGAGGAGGCGCGCGGGAAAGCCGGAUUUCCGGCCGGCGACCGUCUGUUGGCGACAAGGGAGAGGUACUAGAGCAUGGUUGGGCCUAUGUGCACCCUCUGGUGACCACGGCUUGCUGCGAGAAGGCCUGAGGUGGCAUGGCCACGGUGAGGUGCUCCUCGGCGGCGCUUUUGGCCGGAAUGGAGGAAGAACGGACGUAGCCGGGGCUAGAAAUGAUUAGAGCUUGCAGCAAGGGGCGCAAUCGGUGGCUUGGUUCGAGGCGGAGCUGCUGGUGCACUCGAACGGCUUGGAAACGGAGCGAGGGACGCGAAUUGGAGGAGCGCAGCAAGGUCGCCGGCGUCGGGUGCAAGGGAAAGAACGAACGCGUCGUCCAGAGGGAAGGCUUUAUCGCGAAAAGGAAGGGACGUCGUGCCUCCACGUCGUCUGGCGACGCAGGCAGCCAAGCAGCUGCGUGCCUUCACGCACGCAGGCGGUGCUGCGCGGGCGGCGACCACGCUGGACAGAGCGCCGAGGUCCACCUCGGUUACUGUAGCCGGCUUUAUCCAACCAGUUUUGUGGUUUUGCAAAAUUCGUCUAAAUUUUGAACUGAAGACAAAAUUCCACCAAAAUGGAAGUUGUGAAGAAUUUUACAAGCUACAAAACUCCUUUUGGUGACCAAAGCUAAAUCUGAGUGGAAAAGUGUGAAUUUGGCAAAACAGUUUGAAUUUCAAAAUCCCAAAUUGGGGAAAUUCCAAAUUUUGAAUUGGAGCAGAUUAGAAUUUCCAAAAUUACUUUUGAUUUUCCAAACCAACUUGAAAAACUCCCAACAUGAAAGUUGUUCAACUUUUCAAGCCCUACAACUCUCAUGUUGACCAUUUUUCAAAAUUCCAAACAGAUUUUGAAUUGGAGAUUUAAGUUUGAAAAGGGGACACUUUCCGGAAAUCUGUAUUUUCAAAAUUACUUUGAAUUUUGUACUGAAACUUCAAAAACUCAAAACACCAAAGUUGUACAUCUUGACAAGAUCUACAACUUUGCUUUUGAACUCAACUUCAAAUUUUGCUUGAUUUUUGAAUUACACAAAAGGGGCAAAUCUAGGUUUUUGAAAUUAGGGUUUCCCCCCUUAAGUCUUUCGGAAAAACUUUCACCCAGGGUUUUAAUCACCAACACAAACAUCCAUACACAAUAUAAGCACACUUUAAUUUCCUAAGCACAAUCAACCAAAAUAACCUUAUUUUAAGUUGAUGCAUAAUAAUGUGCUCAACAAUUAUGCUUUGCAAUGCUUAUGAUGACAUGAUCCAGUUUUAGUAUUCGUAACAUCAGGGAUGUUACAGCCCUUCCCCCUUAAAGAAAUCUCGUCCCGAGAUUUCCAGGGUACUAAAACCCGUGGGGUUAAGUAAUGGAAAAGGAAAUGUGUCAAGCACAUUAACUUCUGAGAAGUUCAUAAAACAAUUACAAUUGGUCCGAGAAUUACAACUAAGAUCAACAGAAUGUUGUAAUCAAUAAGGAAUGUUAGAGAAUUCAUAAGAAGAUAUGAAUCUCCAAAUGAGCUUCCAAGGAGAAUGAAAGCACACUAACUGUAGACUAUAGCGGAGCAUGACCAGAGAUCCCGAUGUUUAACGAGCACCUAGUAGUAUUUCCUUAUGGCUGCAGUCCACAGGAGACUACAAGGUUCGACGCUAUAACGUGAUCACGGAUCAUGGUACCUACUAUAGAGUACGGUUAUAAUAGCUUUCAAUGACCUAUGUUGGUUAUCUAAGUCAGGGGUUUUAGGUAAUUCCAAAGAGAUAUGGGCAUGGAUUCCCAUAAUAUUGUUCAAAGAGUGAGGUCACCUAAGUUGUGGGUCUAUAAGGGAUCAUGAUCAUAGACUUUGAUAACAGCGAGCGCCCGGCAGUAUUUCCUUAUGGUCGCGAGCCAUAGGAGACCCCAGGUUUCGGCGUUGUUACCUAAGUUAUGGGUCAUGGUACCUUAAGAGGACACAAUCAUAGUGACAUUCAAUCAACAGAAAUGUUGACAAAUGACAUCAAGGAGGUAGCAUGUGUCCGAAUUAGAUGAAAUCAAGGAAGGUCACAUGCAUAACAAAUGAAUCAAGGAUUAGGAUCUUAUGGAGUAAAAGAUUAUCAAUUGGUUAGUAAAACCUGGUACAUGAUGAGAUUCAUCAAUAAAAUAGCUAUAACGAAUAAUAACUGUUUUGAAGCAUAAGGAGGGGCUUUUAAGUAUCAUUAUAUUGUCAUGUUAUGCAAGAUAUGCAAUAUGCUCGUCCCAUACGUCUUUACAACGUUAGCUAGGAGAUAAUUGCUUAUAUAGGGCAUACUUUAUACAUUAUCUUUAUUGCUCUGGACGGAAUGUUGCAAGACUUUUGACAAAGCAUUGUUGGAGUAGUUUGAUUCUUCACUCGGCUUGUUGAAGAAAAAUUGAAGUCCCUUUCAAUGCCUUCUAUUUGAGUCGACAGAAAGUCUUCGUAGAACGGGGACAGCAAGCAUAAGAAAAGUUAAGGAGCAUUUAUAAGUCGUUAUCCUCAAAAACUUUUAAUUUGUAAAUUCCUUUUGAAGUUUUUCACAAGUAAUGUUGCAGAAGAUCCAUGUAUGAGCUCUGAUACCAGCUGUGGCAGAACCACCCUAAUUAUAUGGCCCACAUGCACUUGGCAUUGUCCUUAAGACCUCUGACUACUGCACAUGAGAGUCAUAUAACUUGGAUAGUCUGUCGGGUGCCCUCGGAGGACCCCGAAUCAUCCACAUUUUAACUCGUACAGGAUCAACAUGGAGUUACCACAACAUUACAACAUUUGUUACAAAAAUGACUUACAUCAGAGUGCGGAAGAUUUAUAACUUAAUUUACAACAUAUGAUGAAAUACAAACUUAACUAAAUUUUUAAAAGGUGUAUAGAGUAGCGGAAGCAUCUUAGGUGAAGCUUCUAAGGUAGAAGAGGUGGAUAAAUCAUGUCGCGCCCACCGACAUGACCUCCAUUAGCAGACUAAGUCAGCACCUGCAACAGGGGUUAUAAAACCCUGAGUACAAAAGUACUCAACAAGACUUAACCGACUAGAAAAGAGAUGAAGACUCAGGUAUGCAGGCUAUAGGGAUUCAAGGUAAAGCUUUAUCAAGAUAAAGCAUUUCUUUUGCAUAAAAGCUUACUAAGAUUAAACCUACUUUCAAGUUUUAACUCAAGGUUAUCAUUUAUGACUAACCAAAACUAUUAUCAAACUUGCAUAAGCAUACCACAUCUUUCUUAUACCAAAGAUUCACUUGUUACUACGAUGAUGGUGUGAGGAUUGAGGCUCCAUAUCCGAGGAAACACGGCGAUUCGAAUCGAUUAAACCCAGCUGGGGAUUCAGUACCACACGACAUAUGUAGAACUUAAUCUUGCAUAUGUCAACCUUUUCUAUAGAUCCUCCCAUACAAGAACGGGUCCAGCGUCACCCGAGAGUACAGUACACCACCAUCCUACAGCCAAUCUAGAUGUUUCCCGGUCAUCUCAGAUCCGUAAGGUGGGUACACGCUACUCUCGCCAUCUUUCCACUCCCAGUACGCGGUUAGCCGUUCUCAAGUAUCGGAAUAGCUAUAGGUAAGGCUUACCGCCGCAUGUGGGCUGUACUCAAAGGUCUCAAUCACAACAGGCCAAUCAACGGUACGGUCCUUAAUCGACACAGUUGGAGACACUACUUUAAGACUCCAUUCUUAAAGCAAGUCCACCGACCGGUCUCAAAUUGAACAUCAUUAACUAUAAGAGUAUUCCACAACGACCCUUCAAACGUUCUCAUUUGAAAACUUAUCUAAUAAGCAGGGCUAAGCAUACUAAGCAUUUUCAUAAAGCAGGUAUCAAGGUUAAUAUGGAAAUCAUCAAGGUAGAUAAUGCAGCAAAUAGGAUUCACUCAACUCCUAUUCACCUAAUGCAUCAUAUUAACUCAAGUGAUAUAAAUAACUUUAUGAAAAUACAAGGAUAGGGUUUAAUGUCCGGGGCUUGCCUUGACCGGAAGGGAAGUCCGACAACUCAGCAAAACCAGAUGGAUCCACAAACUCGGAAGCAACCCACUGAGGAUCAGAUUCCUCCGGAGCGUAGUCU
This 19572-nucleotide long non-coding RNA is filed under the name Sorghum bicolor (sorghum). RNAcentral describes it as "long non-coding RNA (SBIC_LNC003991)". Lineage: Eukaryota; Viridiplantae; Streptophyta; Magnoliopsida; Poales; Poaceae. The record is from RNAcentral.